GGUCCACGGUCCCCCAGUCCAGCUGGCUGUGGACGACUCCUCAGACGAAGGGGAGCUGUUUCUGAAGAACCAGGAGGACUUUGAACAGAAGUACAAUUUCCGUUUCGAGGAGCCGGACUCAGCAUCGGUCAAGACCUACCCACGCAGCAUCGCGUCCUCCGUGCGCCGUAAGGAUGAGCGCAGAAAGGAGAAGAGGGAAGAGACUCGGGAGCGAAAGAAGAGGGUGAGUGUGGGGGGUGAGCUGGGGAGGACCCCCCAGCCCUGGAGGAAAGCCCAUGCCCUCCCCCUCUCUGCCUGGGCCUGCAGGAGAAAGCCAAGAAGCAGGAGGAGCUCAAGCAGCUGAAGAACCUGAAGAGGAAGGAGAUUCUGGCCAAGCUGGAGAAGCUGCGGAAAGUAACAGGCAACGAGACGCUGGGCCUCGAGGAGGGGGACCUUGAAGAUGACUUCGACCCUGCCCAGCACGACCAGCUCAUGCAGAAGUGCUUUGGGGACGAGUACUACGGGGCCGUGGAGGAGGAGAAGCCACAAUUUGAGGAAGAAGAAGGGCUUGAAGACGACUGGAACUGGGACACGUGGGACGGGCCUGAGCAGGAGGGAGACUGGAGCCAGCAGGAGCUGCACUGUGAGGACCCCAACUUCAACGUAGGUAUCACGGGUUGAGGGAGUCCCAGGGGCCCUGACGGGGGGCUGGUGGGAUCUGACCUGUGCGUCCUGGCAGAUGGACGCCGACUACGACCCCAGCCAGCCGAGGAAGAAAAAGCGCGAGGCCCCCUUGACAGGCAAGAAGAAGCGCAAGUCGCCCUUCGCCGCGGCCGUGGGGCAGGAGAAGCCCGUGUUCGAACCCGGGGAUAAGACGUUCGAGGAGUACCUGGAUGAGUAUUACCGGCUGGACUACGAGGACAUCAUCGACGACCUGCCCUGUCGCUUCAAGUACCGCACAGUGGUGCCCUGUGACUUUGGCCUCAGCACUGAGGAGAUAUUCGCUGCUGACGAUAAGGAGCUGAACCGGUGGUGCUCCCUAAAGAAGACCUGCAUGUACAGGUCAGAGCAGGAGGAGCUGCGGGACAAGCGGGCGUACAGCCAGAAGGCCCAGAACUCAUGGAAAAAGCGGCAGGUCUUCAAGUCACUCUGCCGAGAAGAGGCAGAGACACCUGCGGAAGCCACAGGGAAGCCACACAGAGAUGAAGCCGGCCCACAGAGGCAGCUGCCAGCCCUUGAUGGCAGCUUGAUGGGGCUGGAGAGUCCCCCAGCACAGGAAGAGGAAGCCCCUGUAUCACCCCACAAGAAGCCAGCCCCCCAGAAGCGGAGGAGGGCCAAGAAGGCACGGCUGCUGGGCCCCACUGUGAUGCUUGGUGGAUGCGAGUUCAGCCGCCAGAGACUGCAGGCCUUUGGCCUCAACCCCAAACGGCUGCACUUCCGCCAGCUGGGCUGGCAGCGGAGGAAACAACAGGGGCCCAAGAACAGCUCCUGAGCACCAGGGAGCAGGCAGGGGCCUCAGGCUCCUCUCCUCAAAUCAAGCCCUGGACAGGUCUCGCACCCACAAGUACUAUCUGCUGCAGAGAUCCUCUCAUCUGUGGCCAGGCACGCCUGUAAUCCCAGCACUUUGGGAGGCCGAGGUGAAAGGAUCACUUGAGCCCAGGAAUUGGAGACCAGCGUGGGCAACUUAGCGAGACUCCAUCUCUACAAAAUGUGGUGACACAUGCCUGUAGUCCCAGCUACUCAGGAGGCUGGGGAAGGAAGAUCACUUAAGGCCAUGAGUUUUGAGGCUACAGAGAGCUAUGAUUGCACCACUGCACUCCAGCCUGGGCAAAAAAGAGACUCCUGUCUCUUGGAAAAAAAAAAAAAAAAUUAAAAAACACGUGUAGCUGCGGGUAAGGAAGUCGUCCCAUUUUAUGGAUGUGGAAACGGAGGCUGACUUAAACUUCCCGUGACUUGGAACUCUCGAGACACCUCCCAGACCCCACAUCCCCUCAGAACGCUGCGCCCAGCCACACCCACGAUCAAGUUACACAGCUUUAUUGGCCCCCAGCAGCCACAGUUCCCCCAAGGGGGCUUUGGGACAGGGAGGGCCCGGGCGUCCAGUGCAAACUACAGUACGUGAGUCAGGCCCUGAGGGGGGUGCCCGGGGUCCUCCUUCCCUACCCUGCCAGGAGGGCCCCCGCUGGUGGGAGACAGGUGUGUGGGCUCUGUGGGCUCUGUCCCUGGCUGAAUGGCCCCAGACUGGUUGCAGCUGGGCUUGAGGGGCUGACAACAGGAAGUACCAUCAUCACUGCCAGAGCUCAAGAUCCCACACCCGACAUGACAUAAAUAAAAAAAUAAAUAGUGUUGU
Molecule: small RNA, 2329 nt
Filed under: Pan troglodytes (chimpanzee)
Lineage: Eukaryota; Metazoa; Chordata; Mammalia; Primates; Hominidae
Description: retained intron
Source: RNAcentral